AAGGAAUAUUGGUCAAUGGACGCAAGUCUGAACCAGCCAUGCCGCGUGAAGGAUGAAGGUCCUCUGGAUUGUAAACUUCUUUUAUCUGGGACGAAAACGGGAUUUUUAUCUCAAUUGACGGUACCAGAGGAAUAAGCACCGGCUAACUCCGUGCCAGCAGCCGCGGUAAUACGGAGGGUGCGAGCGUUAUCCGGAUUUACUGGGUUUAAAGGGUGCGUAGGUGGGCUUAUAAGUCAGUGGUGAAAUCUCCGAGCUUAACUUGGAAACUGCCGUUGAUACUAUAGGUCUUGAAUUAUCUGGAGAGAAGCGGAAUAUGUCAUGUAGCGGUGAAAUGCUUAGAUAUGACAUAGAACACCAAUUGCGAAGGCAGCUUACUACAUAUAAAUUGACGCUGAGGCACGAAAGCGUGGGGAUCAAACA
Molecule: ribosomal RNA, 420 nt
Filed under: uncultured bacterium
Lineage: Bacteria
Description: bacterial SSU rRNA
Rfam family: Bacterial small subunit ribosomal RNA
Source: RNAcentral